AGCAAUGGAUGCCAACAUUGGAAACAGAGGCAGAGCCAGAGGAGUGAGAGGACGAGGACGAGGAAGACCAAGGACCGUAAUCUCUGAUGAGAUCCGAGCCACUUUGGUUGAUCAUGUGGUCAACCAUGGUCUUACAAUGAGGGAGGCUGGACAAAGAGUGCAGCCAAACUAGAGCAGGUACACUGUGGCAUCCAUCAUCCGGACCUUCCGGAAUGAGAAUAGAACUGAAAGAUUACCGACACGAGGAAGUCGGGAACGUCUUCUGUCUCCUGAACAGGAAGCUGAGAUCCUCAACAUGGUGCUGGACAACAAUGCCAUAACAUUACAACAAAUACAAAGAAAUUAUAGAAAACAACGACAUGUUUCUAAAUAUUGAUAGUCAGCUUAGCAACUCUGGACCGUGUCUGGGCCGAAAUCAUCUCAGGAUGAAGCAGCUCUACAGGCUGCCAUUUGAACGAAACUCAGAAAGAGUCAAAGAACUGUGAUAUAACUGUGUGCAAAGAGUCCCUGAGCUAGAGACAGCUGCAGUGGAGCACCAGCUCAUCUUCAUUGAUGAGGUUGGGUUCAACCUCACAAAAAGACGAAGGAGGGGAAGGAAUAUCAUUGGCCAGCGUGCCGUUGUUGAAGUCCCUGGCUAGCGCGGAGGGAACAUCACAAUGUGUGCAGCGCUUGGCUACCACGGCAUCAUCCAUCACCAUGCUACCCUUGGCCCCUACAACUCCGCCCAUCUGAUCACAUUCCUGGACACCCUACACAACACACUCAUCCCACCAGACCAGGUAGAUGGUCCAGAACAGCCCAGGUAUGUUGUCAUUCGGGACAACGUAAGUUUCCACAGGGCUGCUGUGGUUCAUAACCGGUUCAAUCCCAUUGAGGAAUUUUUUCUGCCUGGAGAUGGAAGGUGUAUGACCGACAGUCACAAACCCGUAUACCUCUUCUCCAAGCUAUGGAGGACGCGUGUGGAGAUAUAGCAGCUGAUUAUUUCAUGGCUGGAAUCGCCAUGCUAGGAGAUAUUUCCCCCGCUGCUUGGCCAGGGACAACGUUGCUGGUGAUGUGGAUGAGGCGCUGUGGUCAGACCGCAACAGAAGAGAGGAUGCAGCAUAGUUUUAUUGUUUUACUGUAACUGUACACAGUCAAUUCUUCUGUUGGAUGUAGUGUAUGUGUGCAACUUUGUGUUGGUGGCGAAUGGGAUGAACAUUGUGUACAAUGUUUUGUGGGAAAAAUAAAGUAAUUUCUACCAUG
Nothobranchius furzeri (turquoise killifish) is the source of this 1242-nucleotide long non-coding RNA. RefSeq lists it as uncharacterized. The record is from RefSeq and is a predicted model, not a curated record. Lineage: Eukaryota; Metazoa; Chordata; Actinopteri; Cyprinodontiformes; Nothobranchiidae.